This is a long non-coding RNA of Oxyura jamaicensis (ruddy duck), 1208 nucleotides long. RefSeq lists it as uncharacterized. The transcript is spliced from 2 exons. NCBI's taxonomy places the organism in Eukaryota, Metazoa, Chordata, Aves, Anseriformes, Anatidae. The record is from RefSeq and is a predicted model, not a curated record.
AUAUGUAAAACAUGAACACGUAGAGGAAUCAGCUAAGAUAUUAGAUACUUUUGACCAAAAAGAUUGGACAUGUAGAGAAUAUAAAGGUGGAAAGUAACUUGAAUGAUAGUGACUAUGACAUAAGAGUCCAGGAUUCUCAAAAAAGGAAAGAAAAAAGCAGUGGAAUAAAAACAUUGGGCUUCAAGGAGGAAUACUUCAAUAAAUUGAGACUUCCUUCCCAUGUGUUUUUUAUAUAUCUGUUCUCUGAGGGGAAGAAGAGUUCAGGAGAGUUGGCACUUUCUUAAAGACACAAACUAUCCUUGUGUGAAGGAAAGAUAGGAAGUGUAGUAAAUUACCAAGACCCACUUGGCUGAAGUACAAGGAAUUGUACAAAAAGUAGAAACUAGAUCAAUAGGUGUGUAUAAGAGUACACUGGGACAAAAUCAGAAAGGCAGAGCACAAAACAAGAUAAAACUAGCAAGAGCUGUUAAGGAUGAUAAAACCCUAUUAUGUAAAAAAAAUGAAGAAGGCAAAAAAUAAAAAUAAAAAGCUCAUUUACACGCAGUGGGAAGGAAACACUAAAUGAGGCCAGCUAUUUAACUUUUUUUUGUUUCUGUCCUCAGCCAUCUGAGUGUAGGCUAACAGCACUGACACCAGUGACAACUGAAUACGAGCUUCUGCUAGAAAAGGAAAAAAAAAUGCAUAAGGCAAGUUGUUUGAAGACAAUUCCAGAGACAUCUGCUGCUAUCUUUGAGAACUCAUGGAAGAUAGACAAGACUUCAGAUGGCAAAUACAAUUUCUCUCUUUAUUGAAGGAGAUGAUGAUGAGAGAUGAAGAAUUCUGGAUCAGUCAGCCUAACUUCAAUUUCCAGAAGAAACUAACAAAUAAUCUGUCCGGUUGUAAGCAGUGUGUGAACUCUGAAAUUAAAUACUGCAUCAACAUAACAACCUCCUGCCAGAGGGUUCUGCUCAUCUUCUCCAUGCCAGUAUUUGCAUUUUGUCAGUGACACCACCCUGCUCCUGACACUACAUCUUUCCUUGUCUUCCAAGCACAAUCAUUACGGUAAUCAUGUGGCUGAAAAUGCUCUUGUUCAUCACUCCUUCCUAGCAAUCUACUGCCUUGUUUUUGGAUCCCUUUUUCUGAGGAAAGGUAGCAGAAUAUUGCCUUUUUCAAAUAAGUAUCAGCCAGCAAACUCCACAACUGCUCAUACUCUCAUUGCAAAGCAGUUC